UCGUGGGGGAUAACGAGGCGAAAGCUUUGCUAAUACCGCAUACGAUCUACGGAUGAAAGCGGGGGAUCUUCGGACCUCGCGCGGACGGAGCGGCCGAAGGCAGAUUAGGUAGUUGGUGGGGUAAAGGCUCACCAAGCCGACGAUCUGUAGCUGGUCUGAGAGGAUGAUCAGCCACACUGGGACUGAGACACGGCCCAGACUCCUACGGGAGGCAGCAGUGGGGAAUUUUGGACAAUGGGGGCAACCCUGAUCCAGCCAUGCCGCGUGCAGGAUGAAGGCCUUCGGGUUGUAAACUGCUUUUGUACGGAACGAAAAGCUCUCCUCUAAUAAAGGGGGGUCAUGACGGUACCGUAAGAAUAAGCACCGGCUAACUACGUGCCAGCAGCCGCGGUAAUACGUAGGGUGCAAGCGUUAAUCGGAAUUACUGGGCGUAAAGCGUGCGCAGGCGGUUUUGUAAGACAGAGGUGAAAUCCCCGGGCUCAACCUGGGAACUGCCUUUGUGACUGCAAGGCUGGAGUGCGGCAGAGGGGGAUGGAAUUCCGCGUGUAGCAGUGAAAUGCGUAGAUAUGC
Molecule: ribosomal RNA, 570 nt
Filed under: bacterium RMB-D10
Lineage: Bacteria
Description: bacterial SSU rRNA
Rfam family: Bacterial small subunit ribosomal RNA
Source: RNAcentral